This 70-nucleotide transfer RNA is filed under the name Dipodomys ordii (Ord's kangaroo rat). It matches the Rfam family "tRNA". From Rfam's summary of the family: Transfer RNA (tRNA) molecules are approximately 80 nucleotides in length. Their secondary structure includes four short double-helical elements and three loops (D, anti-codon, and T loops). The record is from Rfam by way of RNAcentral. Lineage: Eukaryota; Metazoa; Chordata; Mammalia; Rodentia; Heteromyidae.
GGGAAGGUGGCUCAGUGGUAGAGCGCUUGCCUUGCAUGUCUGAGGUCCUGGGUUCGAUUCCUCAGCCCCA